Molecule: long non-coding RNA, 1872 nt
Filed under: Nicotiana tabacum (common tobacco)
Lineage: Eukaryota; Viridiplantae; Streptophyta; Magnoliopsida; Solanales; Solanaceae
Description: long non-coding RNA (NTAB_LNC002648)
Source: RNAcentral
ACCGAGAUCAGUAUCAGAUGGCUGGAUGCUCUCAAAUACUCCAAUGACCUCACCGGUCUCUGGCUUGCACUGGGUAACACUCAGGGUGAUCUUUCCUGUAGAAGAUGCAGUAUUCUUUACGUUCUCCUUCUCAAGCUCCUCCUCGUCUCCUCUCCCUCCAGCAGGCAAUGCAACAGCGUUGUCAUAGCCAGUAGAUCCACCCCGUCCCUUUGGGUCAAGGAAGGAUGAACCUCUGUAUGAUGGCACAAGGAAUUCACCGCUAAAGCUUUCUGGUUUGCCGCUUGCCACUAGCUGUUUGAUAGUGAAGAGGAAGGGCACACGCUCACCACCAGGAAGCUGAACUGUAACAGCAGCAUAAUCAAUUCCAUCCUUCUCCUCAAACUUAACAGUGCCAUCAGAAGACACUUCGAAUGGUCCCUCAAUCUCAUCAAGGGUGUAGGUUAAGCGUGUCAUGAGCUUGGUUUUCUGGAAAUCUGGGGGUGCAUUCUUGUUCACACUCUCUGCCUUGACUGUGAAUGAUGUGGGCUCUAAGCAGAAUUUCUUGGCAUUGUAUUUGCCUGGCUUGAAGGCAAAGCUGGCAACACCUCCUUCUAUCGUAGGGCACUGGUUAGCAGUUCCAGUUCCCUUUACUUCCAUGUAUGUCUUGCUUUGAAUUUCGUCGAAGGUUAGACGUUUUGGAACUCCUUCAGCAUUUGCUCCCUAGCAGCCAAGUGGACAAACUUCAGGAAUUUUUGCAUGAGAAACAAGAUUUUCAAAUUUAAUUAAGACAGAAUCCCUAAAACAGUUUAUCCUUACAGAAACAUGGAUGCUUGUCCUGAAAUACAGAUGACUACAUGAAUGUCCAGAAAUGAACAAUGGAAAUUUUGACGAGAUUGGAUGAUUGGAUAUAGACUGAUCUUACUAUUGGAGGUGCUAUUGUGUGUAUAUAUUGGGUGACAAUGGUAAAGAAGCCCUCUAAAGUAUUUCUAUGUAUCCUCAAGCACCUGAUUUAGAUAUUUGGAAAAGAAUAUAAGGCCUACAAGCUCGAAGAAUGUUACCUGCUUUUAGAAUCAUCGGUAUGCCAUACUGGUAAGGUAGCAUUCAUCUCUGAUCCAGCUGUAGUGUUCCUUAUGAUCUUAAACUCAGGUGAUUGGUUUUACACCAACGGAAACCAUAAACUUCAUACACAAUAGAGGGAUAUGAUAGAGUUUUUUUUUUUCUUUAUUUUUUUUAAUAAUGAAUGGAAUUCCUUCUUUCAUUCUAUCCCAUUCACCGGUACUAAUCACUAAGUGUAAAAGUGGCUUUCUUGCUUUUGUGCCUACUCAUGAUCUAAACAAGUCGCACAUACACCCAAGUACAUGUUCCUUAACGCUGAGGGCAACCCCCCCACCCCCCCCCAUAGAGCAGGGGAUCUCGUGACAUCUUUCAUUGGUUGUUUGUAUUUCUAAUAAGUUAUUUAAUAGCUGGCAUGUUGAAUCAUAUACAUAAUGUGAUGAAUUUGCUUAGAUUGAUCCUAACGGAAUGAUGAUGAGAAACUGCUAAUUUGUUUUUGUCUGGUGACUAGAGCCUUCAUGCAAUACCUAAAUUGUGCUGUCUGAAUUUAUGACUUUAUUAUGCGGGAAAAAGCACUGGAUAUAUGGGAAAUAUGGACAUGAAGCAGGCAGAAUUGAGUAAGAAAAGCAACUUACUGAGACGACAAGGGCAGAAGUGGCCAGAGCAAAACCAGCAACCUUGGCAGCAUCAGUGCACUUUUGAGCCAAGUCCUUGAGUUCAGUUUGCAAAGAGCAAGUAAGCCUAGCUGCAGCUGGUUCAACACCAAAUGCUUUGCUCACACUUUGAGCAGACCUCAACUGCAGGUUGUUUCUAGCUGGGGCAACACCAACCUUUGUUGGU